This 474-nucleotide ribosomal RNA is filed under the name uncultured bacterium. RNAcentral's name for it is "partial 16S ribosomal RNA". It matches the Rfam family "Bacterial small subunit ribosomal RNA", at positions 355 to 820 of the family's 1533-position model. The record is from RNAcentral.
UGGGGAAUAUUGCACAAUGGGCGCAAGCCUGAUGCAGCCAUGCCGCGUGUGUGAAGAAGGCCUUCGGGUUGUAAAGCACUUUCAGCGAGGAGGAAGGUGGUGAACUUAAUACGUUCAUCAAUUGACGUUACUCGCAGAAGAAGCACCGGCUAACUCCGUGCCAGCAGCCGCGGUAAUACGGAGGGUGCAAGCGUUAAUCGGAAUUACUGGGCGUAAAGCGCACGCAGGCGGUUUGUUAAGUCAGAUGUGAAAUCCCCGAGCUCAACCUGGGAACUGCAUUUGAAACUGGCAAGCUAGAGUCUCGUAGAGGGGGGUAGAAUUCCAGGUGUAGCGGUGAAAUGCGUAGAGAUCUGGAGGAAUACCGGUGGCGAAGGCGGCCCCCUGGACGAAGACUGACGCUCAGGUGCGAAAGCGUGGGGCAGCAAACAGGAUUAGAUACCCUGGUAGUCCACGCUGUAAACGAUGUCGACUUUU